This 465-nucleotide ribosomal RNA is filed under the name Vreelandella stevensii. Its description in RNAcentral is "partial 16S ribosomal RNA". It matches the Rfam family "Bacterial small subunit ribosomal RNA", at positions 338 to 795 of the family's 1533-position model. Lineage: Bacteria; Pseudomonadati; Pseudomonadota; Gammaproteobacteria; Oceanospirillales; Halomonadaceae. The record is from RNAcentral.
CCUACGGGAGGCAGCAGUGAGGAAUAUUGGACAAUGGGGGCAACCCUGAUCCAGCCAUGCCGCGUGUGUGAAGAAGGCCCUCGGGUUGUAAAGCACUUUCAGUGAGGAAGAACGCCUGGUGGUUAAUACCCAUCAGGAAAGACAUCACUCACAGAAGAAGCACCGGCUAACUCCGUGCCAGCAGCCGCGGUAAUACGGAGGGUGCGAGCGUUAAUCGGAAUUACUGGGCGUAAAGCGCGCGUAGGUGGCUUGAUAAGCCGGUUGUGAAAGCCCCGGGCUCAACCUGGGAACGGCAUCCGGAACUGUCAAGCUAGAGUGCAGGAGAGGAAGGUAGAAUUCCCGGUGUAGCGGUGAAAUGCGUAGAGAUCGGGAGGAAUACCAGUGGCGAAGGCGGCCUUCUGGACUGACACUGACACUGAGGUGCGAAAGCGUGGGUAGCAAACAGGAUUAGAUACCCGAGUAGUC